Molecule: ribosomal RNA, 625 nt
Filed under: uncultured bacterium
Lineage: Bacteria
Description: bacterial SSU rRNA
Rfam family: Bacterial small subunit ribosomal RNA (bases 1-543)
Source: RNAcentral
CCUACGGGAGGCAGCAGUGGGGAAUUUUGGACAAUGGGGGCAACCCUGAUCCAGCCAUGCCGCGUGCGGGAAGAAGGCCUUCGGGUUGUAAACCGCUUUUAUCCGGAAAGAAGGAGUCCAGGUUAAUACCCUGGAUGACAGACGGUACCGGAGGAAUAAGCACCGGCUAACUACGUGCCAGCAGCCGCGGUAAUACGUAGGGUGCGAGCGUUAAUCGGAAUUACUGGGCGUAAAGCGUGCGCAGGCGGUUCGUUAAGUCAGCUGUGAAAGCCCCGGGCUCAACCUGGGAAUUGCGGUUGAAACUGGCGAACUAGAAUCUGGCAGAGGGGGGUGGAAUUCCACGUGUAGCAGUGAAAUGCGUAGAGAUGUGGAGGAACACCGAUGGCGAAGGCAGCCCCCUGGGCUAAGAUUGACGCUCAGGCACGAAAGCGUGGGGAGCAAACAGGAUUAGAUACCCUGGUAGUCCACGCCCUAAACGAUGUCAACUAGGUGUUGGUAGGAGACAUACUUCUAGUACCGCAGCUACGACGUGAGUAGUCCGCCGNGGGAGGUACGGUCGCGAGAGUAAACGUACUAAGUAGUAGUUAGAGUGUUAGAGAGCGACGACGACGACGAGGAGGAGGAG